GACGAACGCUGGCGGCGUGCUUAACACAUGCAAGUCGAACGGAAAGGCCCUGCUUUUGUGGGGUGCUCGAGUGGCGAACGGGUGAGUAACACGUGAGUAACCUGCCCUUGACUUUGGGAUAACUUCAGGAAACUGGGGCUAAUACCGGAUAGGAGCUCCUGCUGCAUGGUGGGGGUUGGAAAGUUUCGGCGGUUGGGGAUGGACUCGCGGCUUAUCAGCUUGUUGGUGGGGUAGUGGCUUACCAAGGCUUUGACGGGUAGCCGGCCUGAGAGGGUGACCGGCCACAUGGGGACUGAGAUACGGCCAAGACUCCUACGGGAGGCAGCAGUGGGGAAUAUUGCACAAGGGGCGGAAGCCUGAUGCAGCAACGCCGCGUGCGGGAUGACGGCCUUCGGGUGGUAAACCGCUUUCGCCGGUGACGAAGCGUGAGUGACGGUAAUGGGUAAAGAAGCACCGGCUAACUACGUG
This 468-nucleotide ribosomal RNA is filed under the name uncultured bacterium. Its description in RNAcentral is "partial 16S ribosomal RNA". It matches the Rfam family "Bacterial small subunit ribosomal RNA", at positions 28 to 507 of the family's 1533-position model. The record is from RNAcentral.